RNAcentral lists this long non-coding RNA (1390 nucleotides) under Brassica rapa (field mustard). Lineage: Eukaryota; Viridiplantae; Streptophyta; Magnoliopsida; Brassicales; Brassicaceae. The record is from RNAcentral.
UUUUGGCACGCAAAAAAGAUCGAAAGCGGAUUCUCAGGGUGUUUUUGAUGCUUUCUGAACGCCAUUAACCUCGACGCACUUUUUCGCUCGAAACAAAAUGGCAAGAAAAUCAUGUGGGUCCCACGGCCUCACACUUGGAUUGGCUGCAAAAAGGAUAUGUAGAAACGAGAGUGAUAUACUGACGGGUGCGAUCAUACCAGCACUAAUGCACCGGAUCCCAUCAGAACUCCGCAGUUAAGCGUGCUUGGGCGAGAGUAGUACUAGGAUGGGUGACCUCCCGGGAAGUCCUCGUGUUGCACCCCUUUUUAUUUUUUAAUUUUUUUUAAUGCAUCCUAAGACGAGUCUAAACUUGGAAACCUCAUAACUUUUGAACCGUGAGGAACUACGUCGCCCAUAGCACCAUUUCGGAAAGCCCCAGAAACCAUAAUGGGCGGUGAAUAGGCGGCGCCAAUUUUUCGGGCUCAAAUUCAGCCGUUUUGACCCUCAAACGGGCUGCGGAAAGUUUUGGCACGCAAAAAAGAUCGAAAGCGGAUUCUCAGGGUGUUUUUGAUGCUUUCUGAACGCCAUUAACCUCGACGCACUUUUUCGCUCGAAACAAAAUGGCAAGAAAAUCAUGUGGGUCCCACGGCCUCACACUUGGAUUGGCUGCGAAAAGGAUAUGUAGAAACGAGAGUGAUGUACUGACGGGUGCGAUCAUACCAGCACUAAUGCACCGGAUCCCAUCAGAACUCCGCAGUUAAGCGUGCUUGGGCGAGAGUAGUACUAGGAUGGGUGACCUCCCGGGAAGUCCUCGUGUUGCACCCCUUUUUAUUUUUUAAUUUUUUUUAAUGCAUCCUAAGACGAGUCUAAACUUGGAAACCUCAUAACUUUUGAACCGUGAGGAACUACGUCGCCCAUAGCACCAUUUCGGAAAGCCCCAGAAACCAUAAUGGGCGGUGAAUAGGCGGCGCCAAUUUUUCGGGCUCAAAUUCAGCCGUUUUGACCCUCAAACGGGCUGCGGAAAGUUUUGGCACGCAAAAAAGAUCGAAAGCGGAUUCUCAGGGUGUUUUUGAUGCUUUCUGAACGCCAUUAACCUCGACGCACUUUUUCGCUCGAAACAAAAUGGCAAGAAAAUCAUGUGGGUCCCACGGCCUCACACUUGGAUUGGCUGCGAAAAGGAUAUGUAGAAGCGAGAGUGAUGUACUGACGGGUGCGAUCAUACCAGCACUAAUGCACCGGAUCCCAUCAGAACUCCGCAGUUAAGCGUGCUAGAGUAGUGGGUGACCUCCCGGGAAGUCCUCGUGUUGCACCCCUUUUUAUUUUUUAAUUUUUUUUAAUGCAUCCUAAGACGAGUCUAAACUUGGAAACCUCAUAACUUUUGAACCGUGAGGAACUACGUCGCCCAUAGCAC